Molecule: ribosomal RNA, 253 nt
Filed under: uncultured bacterium
Lineage: Bacteria
Description: partial 16S ribosomal RNA
Rfam family: Bacterial small subunit ribosomal RNA
Source: RNAcentral
GACAGAGGGUGCAAACGUUGUUCGGAAUUACUGGGCGUAAAGCGCGUGUAGGCUGCUCCGCAAGUCGGGUGUGAAAGCCCUGGGCUCAACCUAGGAAGUGCACUCGAAACUGCGGAGCUGGAGUCCUGGAGAGGAAGGCGGAAUUCUCGGUGUAGAGGUGAAAUUCGUAGAUAUCGAGAGGAACACCGGUGGCGAAGGCGGCCUUCUGGACAGUGACUGGCGCUGAGACGCGAAAGCUAGGGGAGCAAACAGG